GUUUCGACGACGAUGCGCGGGGGCUGCGCAGAUCGACGGCGAGUGGCCCGACCUGGCGGGCGCAACGCAGCGGGGGGCGUCGCUGCUGCUGCGGCUUUGGCAUUUUGUCAAACACGGCGCAAGCACGACAGCGCAGGGAGUACACUAUUGUCGUUUGGCGGGGUUGAGGAGUAUGGGAUGGCUCUGGGGAGGGAGCUCCUUGCUGCAGGCAUGCAUGGGAGAGGGACACCUGCACUUGGGGAGGGCGCUGGCUGGGAGAGGGGGCUCGGCCAUGGAAAGACCAGAGAAAGAGGAGGGUGAUGUGCUGCUGUUGGGCGCCGG
RNAcentral lists this unclassified non-coding RNA (321 nucleotides) under Zea mays. RNAcentral's name for it is "misc RNA Zm00001eb345870". Lineage: Eukaryota; Viridiplantae; Streptophyta; Magnoliopsida; Poales; Poaceae. The record is from RNAcentral.